GCCGGGCGCAGUGGCGCAUGCCUGUAGUCCCAGCUACUCGGGAGGCUGAGGUGGGAGGAUCGCUUGAGCCCAGGAGUUCUGGGCUGCAGUGCGCUAUGCCAUGUGCUAUGCAGCACUAAGUUCGGCAUCAAUGUGGUGACCUCCCAGAAGUGGGGGACCACCAGGUUGCCUGAGGAGGGGUGAGCUGGCCCAGGACAGAAACAGAGCAGGUCAAAACUCCCGUGCUGAUCAGUAGUGGGAUGGCGCCUGUGAAUAGCUACUGCACUCCAGCCUGGGUAACACAGCAAGACCCCGGCUCU
This 299-nucleotide signal recognition particle RNA is filed under the name Cebus imitator (Panamanian white-faced capuchin). RNAcentral describes it as "Metazoan signal recognition particle RNA (ENSCCAG00000008777.1)". It matches the Rfam family "Metazoan signal recognition particle RNA". Rfam says of the family: The signal recognition particle (SRP) is a universally conserved ribonucleoprotein. It is involved in the co-translational targeting of proteins to membranes. Lineage: Eukaryota; Metazoa; Chordata; Mammalia; Primates; Cebidae. The record is from RNAcentral.